RNAcentral lists this ribosomal RNA (1301 nucleotides) under metagenome. Its description in RNAcentral is "SSU rRNA". It matches the Rfam family "Eukaryotic small subunit ribosomal RNA", at positions 281 to 1636 of the family's 1831-position model. The record is from RNAcentral.
GCGUGUGCGAUAAAUCAUUCAAGUUUCUGCCCUAUCAGCUUUGGAUGGUAGUGUAUUGGACUACCAUGGCAGUCACGGGUAACGGAGAAUUAGGGUUCGAUUCCGGAGAGGGAGCCUGAGAAACGGCUACCACAUCUACGGAAGGCAGCAGGAGCGAAAAUUGCCCAAUCCCGACACGGGGAGGCAGUGACGAGAAAUAACAACUCUUGGUUAUUCUAAGAAGUGUAAUGAGGAUAAUUUAAAACCCUUACCGAAAGCAAUUGGAGGGCAAGUCUGGUGCCAGCAGCCGCGGUAAUUCCAGCUCCAAUAGCGUAUAUUAAAGUGUUGCAGUUAAAAAGCUCGUAGUUGAAGUUCUGGCUGCUUGACCCUCGAGCUUUGUAGCCGAGGGCUCAGCAGUCAUCCGCUUGCAAAUAUAUGUUCGCCUUUAACCGGGCGGCUAUAUGAGUAAGCAUUUUACCUUGAGAAAAACAGAGUGUUCCAGGCAGGUUUGUCCGGAAUGCAUUAGCAUGGAAUUAUAGAAUAUGACUGAAGUCGAUUUAUUGGUUUGAGGCUUUAGUAAUGAUUAAUAGGAACAGUUGGGGGCAUUGGUACUUGUCAGUCAGAGGUGAAAUUCUAGGAUUUGACAAAGACUAACAAAUGCGAAAGCAUUUGCCAAGGAUGUUUUCAUUAAUCAAGAACGAAAGUUAGGGGAUCAAAGACGAUCAGAUACCGUCCUAGUCUUAACUAUAAACUAUACCGACUCGGAUUCAGAUGAAUCAUAAAGUUCAUUUGGGACCGUAGGAGAAAUCAAAGUUUUUGGGUUCUGGGGGAAGUAUGGUCGCAAGGCUGAAACUUAAAGGAAUUGACGGUUUUGCACCACCAUGGAGUGGAGUCUGCGGCUUAAUUUGACCCAACACUGGGAAACUCAUCAGGGCAAGAAGAUUGUAGGAUUGACAGAUUGAGAGUUCUUUCUUGAUUGGUCUAGUGGUGGUGCAUGGCCGUUCUUAGUUGGUGGAGUGAUUUGUCUGGUUAAUUCCGUUAACGAACGAGACCUUAACCUGCUAACUAGUACACCGAUGACAAAUCGGUGAUACUUCUUAGAGGGACUAUGUGAUGUAAUCACAUGGAAGUUUGAGGCAAUAACAGGUCUGUGAUGCCCUUAGAUGUCCUGAGCUGCACGCGUACUACAAUGGUGCUUUCAUCGAGCUUUUCCUGAUCCGAAAGGAUUUGGGUAAUCUUUUUAGUGAGCACCGUGCUUGGGAUAGAUCUUUGUAAUUAUGGAUCUUGAACUAGGAAUUCCUAGUAAGCACGUGUCAUCAGCA